AAUGCAGCUUUGAAAGAAGUUGCCAAAGAUUUAUCGGCGAAGGAGGGGCCCGCGUUAGAUUAGCUUGUUGGUGGGGUAACGGCCUACCAAGGCUCUGAUCUAUAGCUGGUCUGAGAGGACGAUCAGCCACACUGGGACUGAGGCACGGCCCAGACUCCUACGGGAGGCAGCAGUGGGGAAUCUUGGACAAUGGGGGCAACCCUGAUCCAGCGACGCCGCGUGGAUGAAGAAGGCCUUAGGGUUGUAAAGUCCUUUCACCGGGGAGGAUGAUGACGUUACCCGGAGAAGAAGCACCGGCUAACUCCGUGCCAGCAGCCGCGGUAAGACGGAGGGUGCUAGCGUUGUUCGGAAUCACUGGGCGUAAAGGGCGCGUAGGCGGCUUGGUCAGUCAGAUGUGAAAGCCCAGGGCUCAACUCUGGAACUGCAUUUGAUACUUCCAAGCUAGAGGUCGAAAGAGGAGAGUGGAAUACCCAGUGUAGAGGUGAAAUUCGUAGAUAUUGGGUGGAACACCAGUGGCGAAAGCGGCUCUCUGGUUCGAAUCUGACGCUGAGGCGCGAAAGCGUGGGGAGCAAACAGGAUUAGAUACCCUGGUAGUCCACGCCCUAAACGAUGUGUGCUAGACGUCGGGAGGCUUGCCUCUCGGUGUCGGAGCUAACGUGUUAAGCACACCGCCUGGGGAGUACGGUCGCAAGAUUAAAACUCAAAGGAAUUGACGGGGG
Molecule: ribosomal RNA, 719 nt
Filed under: uncultured bacterium
Lineage: Bacteria
Description: bacterial SSU rRNA
Rfam family: Bacterial small subunit ribosomal RNA
Source: RNAcentral